RNAcentral lists this small nuclear RNA (341 nucleotides) under Octodon degus (degu). RNAcentral's name for it is "7SK RNA (ENSODEG00000023411.1)". It matches the Rfam family "7SK RNA". From Rfam's summary of the family: 7SK was discovered as an abundant small nuclear RNA in the mid-70s but a possible function has only recently been suggested. The record is from Rfam by way of RNAcentral. Lineage: Eukaryota; Metazoa; Chordata; Mammalia; Rodentia; Octodontidae.
GGAUGUGAGGGUGAUCUGGUUUCCACACACCAUCCCAUUGGUCACCAGGGUUGAUUCGGCUGCCUGGCUGUCUAGACAGGUGUCCUCUUCCUCCCUCACUCUCCCUGUCUGUCCCUCCCAAAGCUGCACCUUCAGUUGACCACCCUGAUAGAAGAGGACUGUUUCCUCAGUCAUGGAUGUAUGAGUACCUGUGCUCCCCUGCUAGGACCUCUCACAAGCUUUCAAAGACACUUGUCAUACUGUACAUACCUCACAUGCUAAAAUCAGUGGACAAAAGCUUAACAAGAAAUAGGAAAUUGCUCAAAAUAUUCCCCUUUGUAUUCUGGGGGAUAUGUUCCAAG